CAAGCAUUCCUAUAUAUCAGUAACAGACUAACAGAGAGCCAAAUCAUGAAUGAACUCCCAUUCACAAUUGCUACAAGGAGAAUUAAAUACCUACGAAUACAACUUCCAAGGGAUGUGAAGUACGUCUUCAAGGAGAACUACAAACCACUGCUCAAGGAAAUAAGAGAGGACACAAACAGAUG
Sapajus apella (tufted capuchin) is the source of this 182-nucleotide long non-coding RNA. RefSeq lists it as uncharacterized. NCBI's taxonomy places the organism in Eukaryota, Metazoa, Chordata, Mammalia, Primates, Cebidae. The transcript is spliced from 2 exons. The record is from RefSeq and is a predicted model, not a curated record.